GACGAACGCUGGCGGCGUGCUUAACACAUGCAAGUCGAACGGAAAGGCCCUGCUUGCAGGGUACUCGAGUGGCGAACGGGUGAGUAACACGUGGGUGAUCUGCCCUGCACUUCGGGAUAAGCCUGGGAAACUGGGUCUAAUACCGGAUAGGAGCCAUUUUUAGUGUGAUGGUUGGAAAGUUUUUUCGGUGUAGGAUGAGCUCGCGGCCUAUCAGCUUGUUGGUGGGGUAAUGGCCUACCAAGGCGGCGACGGGUAGCCGGCCUGAGAGGGUGGACGGCCACAUUGGGACUGAGAGACGGCCCAGACUCCGACGGGAGGCAGCAGUGGGGAAUAUUGCACAAUGGGCGCAAGCCUGAUGCAGCGACGCCGCGUGGGGGAUGACGGCCUUCGGGUUGUAAAAUCCUUUCGCUAGGGACGAAGCUUUUUGUGACGGUACCUAGAUAAGAAGCACCGGCUAACUACGUG
This 465-nucleotide ribosomal RNA is filed under the name uncultured bacterium. Its description in RNAcentral is "partial 16S ribosomal RNA". It matches the Rfam family "Bacterial small subunit ribosomal RNA", at positions 28 to 507 of the family's 1533-position model. The record is from RNAcentral.